AACUAGGNAUUAGAUACCCUAUUAUUCAAUUUGUAACUUUGUUUUAUAUUAGUAUGAGGGGUCUUAAAAUUAAAAAGAUUUGGCGGUAUUGAAGUCUUACUAGAGGAACUUGUAAUUUAAUCGAUAAUCCUCGUUUAAUCUUACUUUAGCUUGUUUAGUUUGUAUAUCGUCGUUUUAAGAAAGUAUUAUGGAGUUAUUUUCUUUAUANAUUGUUUUGAUAAUUCAGAUCAAGGUGCAGCUUAUGCUAAAGUUAUUAUGAGUUACAUUUGAAUUAUUAAUUACGGAUNAUUCUUGAAAAUUUGAGUUUUGAAGGUGGAUUUAGUAGUAAAGUAAUAUAAGAUAAUUUUUUUGAAUAAGUACUAAAAUAUGUACACAUCGCCCGUCGCUCUU
This 390-nucleotide ribosomal RNA is filed under the name Scolopendra cingulata. RNAcentral's name for it is "partial small subunit ribosomal RNA". The record is from RNAcentral. Lineage: Eukaryota; Metazoa; Arthropoda; Chilopoda; Scolopendromorpha; Scolopendridae.